UACGUAGGGUGCAAGCGUUGUCCGGAAUUAUUGGGCGUAAAGAGCUUGUAGGCGGUUUGUCGCGUCUGCUGUGAAAUUUCGGGGCUCAACCCCGAACUUGCAGUGGGUACGGGCAGACUAGAGUGUGGUAGGGGAGACUGGAAUUCCUGGUGUAGCGGUGAAAUGCGCAGAUAUCAGGAGGAACACCGAUGGCGAAGGCAGGUCUCUGGGCAUUAACUGACGCUGAGGAGCGAAAGCAUGGGGAGCGAACAGG
Molecule: ribosomal RNA, 253 nt
Filed under: uncultured bacterium
Lineage: Bacteria
Description: partial 16S ribosomal RNA
Rfam family: Bacterial small subunit ribosomal RNA
Source: RNAcentral